RNAcentral lists this long non-coding RNA (282 nucleotides) under Linum usitatissimum (flax). RNAcentral's name for it is "long non-coding RNA (LUSI_LNC004344)". Lineage: Eukaryota; Viridiplantae; Streptophyta; Magnoliopsida; Malpighiales; Linaceae. The record is from RNAcentral.
UCAUUCCACCAGCUGCCAGCUAAUCCGACGAACUCCAUCGCCGGUAAAGGCAGUCAUUCCACCAGCUGCCAGCUAAUCCGACGAACUCCAUCGCCGGUAAAAGCAGUAGCGGUCUCGUCAUUCUUCUUCUCCUUCCCUCCACCCGAAGAACUUUCUCCCACACGAAGCGGCGAGGAAAUCAAACUUGCCCACUUCUUUCUAACGCCCUGCUAAUACCAGCCCCACGAAUUUCUCAAGGAAAUUAAAACAAAAAGGAAUAAAAAUAGCGGUAAAAUGAGCUGA